GCUCAGAUUGAACGCUGGCGGCAGGCCUAACACAUGCAAGUCGAACGGUAACAUUUCUAGCUUGCUAGAAGAUGACGAGUGGCGGACGGGUGAUUAAUGCUUGGGAACUUGCCUUUGCGAGGGGGAUAACAGUUGGAAACGACUGCUAAUACCGCAUAAUGUCUUCGGACCAAACGGGGCUUCGGCUCCGGCGCAAAGAGGGGCCCAAGUGAGAUUAGCUAGUUGGUAAGGUAACGGCUUACCAAGGCGACGAUCUCUAGCUGUUCUGAGAGGAAGAUCAGCCACACUGGGACUGAGACACGGCCCAGACUCCUACGGGAGGCAGCAGUGGGGAAUAUUGCACAAUGGGGGAAACCCUGAUGCAGCCAUGCCGCGUGUGUGAAGAAGGCCUUCGGGUUGUAAAGCACUUUCAGUUGUGAGGAAAAGUUAGUAGUUAAUACCUGCUAGCCG
Molecule: ribosomal RNA, 450 nt
Filed under: uncultured prokaryote
Description: bacterial SSU rRNA
Rfam family: Bacterial small subunit ribosomal RNA
Source: RNAcentral